This 314-nucleotide ribosomal RNA is filed under the name uncultured bacterium. RNAcentral describes it as "bacterial SSU rRNA". It matches the Rfam family "Bacterial small subunit ribosomal RNA", at positions 28 to 334 of the family's 1533-position model. The record is from RNAcentral.
GAUGAACGCUAGCUACAGGCUUAACACAUGCAAGUCGAGGGGCAUCAGGAAGAAAGCUUGCUUUCUUUGCUGGCGACCGGCGCACGGGUGAGUAACACGUAUCCAACCUGCCCUUUACUCGGGGAUAGCCUUUCGAAAGAAAGAUUAAUACCCGAUGGCAUAAUGAUUCCGCAUGGUUUCAUUAUUAAAGGAUUCCGGUAAAGGAUGGGGAUGCGUUCCAUUAGGCAGUUGGCGGGGUAACGGCCCACCAAACCUACGAUGGAUAGGGGUUCUGAGAGGAAGGUCCCCCACAUUGGAACUGAGACACGGUCCAA